This 1536-nucleotide ribosomal RNA is filed under the name Weissella confusa. RNAcentral's name for it is "SSU rRNA". It matches the Rfam family "Bacterial small subunit ribosomal RNA". Lineage: Bacteria; Bacillati; Bacillota; Bacilli; Lactobacillales; Lactobacillaceae. The record is from RNAcentral.
AGAGUUUGAUCCUGGCUCAGGAUGAACGCUGGCGGCGUGCCUAAUACAUGCAAGUCGAACGCUUUGUGGUUCAACUGAUUUGAAGAGCUUGCUCAGAUAUGACGAUGGACAUUGCAAAGAGUGGCGAACGGGUGAGUAACACGUGGGAAACCUACCUCUUAGCAGGGGAUAACAUUUGGAAACAGAUGCUAAUACCGUAUAACAAUGACAACCGCAUGGUUGUUAUUUAAAAGAUGGUUCUGCUAUCACUAAGAGAUGGUCCCGCGGUGCAUUAGCUAGUUGGUAAGGUAAUGGCUUACCAAGGCGAUGAUGCAUAGCCGAGUUGAGAGACUGAUCGGCCACAAUGGGACUGAGACACGGCCCAUACUCCUACGGGAGGCAGCAGUAGGGAAUCUUCCACAAUGGGCGAAAGCCUGAUGGAGCAACGCCGCGUGUGUGAUGAAGGGUUUCGGCUCGUAAAACACUGUUGUAAGAGAAGAAUGACAUUGAGAGUAACUGUUCAAUGUGUGACGGUAUCUUACCAGAAAGGAACGGCUAAAUACGUGCCAGCAGCCGCGGUAAUACGUAUGUUCCAAGCGUUAUCCGGAUUUAUUGGGCGUAAAGCGAGCGCAGACGGUUAUUUAAGUCUGAAGUGAAAGCCCUCAGCUCAACUGAGGAAUUGCUUUGGAAACUGGAUGACUUGAGUGCAGUAGAGGAAAGUGGAACUCCAUGUGUAGCGGUGAAAUGCGUAGAUAUAUGGAAGAACACCAGUGGCGAAGGCGGCUUUCUGGACUGUAACUGACGUUGAGGCUCGAAAGUGUGGGUAGCAAACAGGAUUAGAUACCCUGGUAGUCCACACCGUAAACGAUGAGUGCUAGGUGUUUGAGGGUUUCCGCCCUUAAGUGCCGCAGCUAACGCAUUAAGCACUCCGCCUGGGGAGUACGACCGCAAGGUUGAAACUCAAAGGAAUUGACGGGGACCCGCACAAGCGGUGGAGCAUGUGGUUUAAUUCGAAGCAACGCGAAGAACCUUACCAGGUCUUGACAUCCCUUGACAACUCCAGAGAUGGAGCGUUCCCUUCGGGGACAAGGUGACAGGUGGUGCAUGGUUGUCGUCAGCUCGUGUCGUGAGAUGUUGGGUUAAGUCCCGCAACGAGCGCAACCCUUAUUACUAGUUGCCAGCAUUCAGUUGGGCACUCUAGUGAGACUGCCGGUGACAAACCGGAGGAAGGUGGGGAUGACGUCAAAUCAUCAUGCCCCUUAUGACCUGGGCUACACACGUGCUACAAUGGCGUAUACAACGAGUUGCCAACCCGCGAGGGUGAGCUAAUCUCUUAAAGUACGUCUCAGUUCGGAUUGUAGGCUGCAACUCGCCUACAUGAAGUCGGAAUCGCUAGUAAUCGCGGAUCAGCACGCCGCGGUGAAUACGUUCCCGGGUCUUGUACACACCGCCCGUCACACCAUGAGAGUUUGUAACACCCAAAGCCGGUGGGGUAACCUUCGGGAGCCAGCCGUCUAAGGUGGGACAGAUGAUUAGGGUGAAGUCGUAACAAGGUAG